CCUACGGGCGGCAGCAGUGAGGAAUAUUGGUCAAUGGACGAGAGUCUGAACCAGCCAAGUAGCGUGAAGGAUGACUGCCCUAUGGGUUGUAAACUUCUUUUAUAUGGGAAUAAAAUGUUCCACGUGUGGGAUUUUGUAUGUAUCAUAUGAAUAAGGAUCGGCUAACUCCGUGCCAGCAGCCGCGGUAAUACGGAGGAUCCGAGCGUUAUCCGGAUUUAUUGGGUUUAAAGGGAGCGUAGGUGGAUUGUUAAGUCAGUUGUGAAAGUUUGCGGCUCAACCGUAAAAUUGCAGUUGAAACUGGCAGUCUUGAGUACAGUAGAGGUGGGCGGAAUGUGUGGUGUAGCGGUGAAAUGCUUAGAUAUCACGAAGAACUCCGAUUGCGAAGGCAGUUCACUGGACUGCAACUGACACUGAGGCUCGAAAGUGUGGGUAUCAAACAGGAUUAGAUACCCGUGUAGUC
This 460-nucleotide ribosomal RNA is filed under the name uncultured bacterium. Its description in RNAcentral is "partial 16S ribosomal RNA". It matches the Rfam family "Bacterial small subunit ribosomal RNA", at positions 338 to 795 of the family's 1533-position model. The record is from RNAcentral.